RNAcentral lists this ribosomal RNA (468 nucleotides) under uncultured bacterium. RNAcentral's name for it is "partial 16S ribosomal RNA". It matches the Rfam family "Bacterial small subunit ribosomal RNA", at positions 28 to 507 of the family's 1533-position model. The record is from RNAcentral.
GACGAACGCUGGCGGCGUGCUUAACACAUGCAAGUCGAACGGAAAGGCCCUGCUUUUGUGGGGUGCUCGAGUGGCGAACGGGUGAGUAACACGUGAGUAACCUGCCCUUGACUUUGGGAUAACUUCAGGAAACUGGGGCUAAUACCGGAUAGGAGCUCCUGCUUCAUGGUGGGGGUUGGAAAGUUUCGGCGGUUGGGGAUGUACUCGCGGCUUAUCAGCUUGUUGGUGGGGUAGUGGCUUACCAAGGCUUUGAAGGGUAGCCGGCCUGAGAGGGUGACCGGCCACAUUGGGACUGAGAUACGGGCCAGACUACUACGGGAGGCAGCAGUGGGGAAUAUUGCACAAUGGGCGGAAGCCUGAUGCAGCAACGCCGCGUGCGGGAUGACGGCCUUCGGGUUGUAAACCGCUUUCGCCUGUGACGAAGCGUGAGUGACGGUAAUGGGUAAAGAAGCACCGGCUAACUACGUG